Molecule: ribosomal RNA, 229 nt
Filed under: uncultured bacterium
Lineage: Bacteria
Description: partial 16S ribosomal RNA
Rfam family: Bacterial small subunit ribosomal RNA
Source: RNAcentral
UGAGGAACAUGACCUUCGGCGGGGGAUAGCCGGCCCAACGGCCGGGUAAUACCGCGUACGACCACAUGGGGACAUCCCUGAGUGGUGAAAGCAGCAAUGCGCCGAUGGAGUGCCUCGCGGCCUAUCAGCUAGUUGGUGAGGUAACGGCUCACCAAGGCGACGACGGGUAGCUGGUCUGAGAGGAUGGCCAGCCACAUUGGACUGAGACNCGGCCCAGACUNUACGGGAG